GUGCUCACUUUGGCAGCACAUCUACUAAAAUUAGAAUGAUACAGAGAUUAGCAUGACCCCUGCUCAAGGAUGACAUGCAAAUUCGUGAAGCGUUCCAUAUUUUA
This is a small nuclear RNA of Callorhinus ursinus (northern fur seal), 104 nucleotides long. The record is from RefSeq and is a predicted model, not a curated record. Lineage: Eukaryota; Metazoa; Chordata; Mammalia; Carnivora; Otariidae.